Molecule: long non-coding RNA, 2392 nt
Organism: Coturnix japonica (Japanese quail)
Lineage: Eukaryota; Metazoa; Chordata; Aves; Galliformes; Phasianidae
Source: RefSeq, a predicted model, not a curated record
CACCUGCAAAGUUGAGAACCCGACUUACCGAGCUCUGUUUGCCUUUUUUUCCACCCACCCCCCCCCGCCCCCUCCAACCCGAAGUUAAUAUUAACCCGCGACUAAUGCAUUCGGCGGCUAUUCCCCGAGCCUAACAAUUCUCUCCGGGGGAAGAUCUCUCCAUGCUUGAAGGGUUCGAGGCGAAGGGCGAGGGGCUGCAGGACGGCAACCCCGAGUCCGACCCCUCUCCUUCGUCCCCUCUGCCCCAACCCGGCCCUCUUCCCUCUUUGUGUCUAAAGCAACCCGAAAGAAAGAAAGAAAGAAAGAAAAAAAACUAUUUGUUUUCGUUCCGUUCGUCUGAGGGAAGUUGACAGAAGGUCAGGAGUUCACCCGCUGCCGUCUAAUGCGGCGGGAGCCGUGCCCCGGGAGGGCAUCCUCGCACCGCCCCCGGUCCGCACCGCUCCUCCGCACCCGCUCCGCCGCGCCGUGCCCCGCCGGGAGCCCAUCUCCCGCGGAGCCGCCUCCUCCUCCUCCUCCUCUCCGCUCGAGGAGGGAAGGGUGAAACCCGAGCCGGCGCGAUCGAUGGGCGAGAGGAGUUAAGUGGAGCUGAAAAUGCGAGAUGCGGUGGCAGAAAGGGCGGAGGAGCGCUCAGCGGGGCGCGGGGGUUGCAGCUCCGCGUUCCGAGCUCCGCGCAGCGCACACGGAGCUCCGCGCUCCGCCCCGGCACAGACGCGCCGCCGCGCUCCCGAGGUACGCGGCGGAUUUAAGGUGGUCGGGAAGAGAUGGUGGCCCCGAGCCCCGGGAGAACCGGCAAACGUGCGGAAAAUCAGGCCGAGAAGCUGGGAGAGUUUGGGAAAUUCCCCCCCACCCUCCCCCCCCCCCUCCCUCCUUCCCCGCACCCCAUCCGCGUCCACUCCCCGCCUCGUCCUUCCCCGCGAGUCCUGUUCUAGCGCUGAAGGUGGGGCUUAAAUGUAUUAAUAUUAAAAAAGCGCCGUUGACCUAUAUUUGGAGGAAACCCAUUUCCAGUGCCUAGAUUGCAUGUAGUUUGAGAAACUCCGGGAUUGGCAGAGCAAUUGACUUCACCGAGCUCUCUGGUGAGCAUGAAUAAUAAUUACGAGGUGACUCUCGGAGAGGUUCUCUAUCUCUCUCUCUCUUUCUUUCUCUCUCUCUCUUUUUGCAUAAAAUGGUUCCGCAAUCCGAUUCCGCCCGAGAUCCAAUAUUUACCCGGUUGUAAACCUUGUGCCAUCAGAUUUUUUUAAACCCGAAGGUGAUGCAAUGCCGAUAAGUUGCAAGUCCCUCCCCUAUGGAAGUACCAGAGAGCUGGCGGCGAGCAUCCUUAAAGAAAUAUCAAUAUAUUUACGCUCUGAUGGGCACAAUCGCAAAUGAUGGUAUUGCAAUACGAGCUCUAUCAUACGGAAUCAGGAGAGCCAUGGUCGAUCCGGCUUCAGCUGCCUUUUCGUGGCAAGUGAUGUCUUUAUCCCCGGUCUCCAAAAGCGACUGAUCAGACAAAGGUGUUGAGAGACGAGCAGAACUGCAGCGAUGGGGCUGAUAGAGCAGGUCGGGCGGAAAGGCAGGGUCCCGUAUGGACAAAUACGGCUGCAAAGGGCUCCUCUGCUUUUGCUCCGGCGUGUACGCGAUUUGUCCCAGCGUCCCGAAACUCGAAGAAGCUUUUUGGGAGUUCUCAAAAGUCCCGAGAUGACAAGCUGUAGUGAGCCGAAGUCCUUAGUAAAAAAUAAUACAUAGAAAUCAGCUUUAUUUAAGGAAAAAUAAAACGCAGCUCUUUUGGAGAGAGAGAUGAUGCGGGAGUUUUCCCGUCUGAGUCGUAAUCCGCUUAAAGCACGUGAAGAUGGACUUGAAAAUUAGUUUUUAAGUGGUUGAAAAAGAGUCAAGUAAAAGUUGUACGCCAUGAACAGCAGCAUGGAGGACCACCCCAACUUGCAAGGGACAAAGUGAUCUUUCCUAGGUAAACUUUAGAGAAAGAGCUGAAAGAAGUGAUUGGAAACUCUCGGAUCGACUUUUCCCUCCCGUGCACCCACUCUCCUCUCCUGUUACUUAUGUUUCUCCGUAACCUUCCAGUGAAGCUCUGCUUUCUCUUCCCCAACUUGAAAUUUCGGCGUUUUUAAUGUGGGGAUGGGUAAGGAGAGUGAGGAAGGCAGCCGCUUGUCUGCGAGGUUUUUGUCAGCCCAUCGAGCUGCAGAAACAAGCCGUCUAACAGCCAAACGCCUGCUUCAUGCCAUGAAAAACACACUCAAGUUUUAUCUUCCCGUCUGUGUGCAUGCGAGAAGACAGAUACAAGGAAUAUAUAAUUUAUACAAAAGAGGCUAUGUUCUUUUGAUGUGGUUGCUUAAACAGCAUGACUUGAUAUAACAGUUGAUUAAACAGUGCCAAGGAAUAAAAGCUGCCCCUAAUGGUG